CUGUGACUUUUUCAGUCAGCGCCUGAGCCGCGGUAAUCAUCGGGAAUAAAGAAAGAGCAGUUUGUUUGUAGAACGGAAGUGAGAAGUUUUUUUGCAAUACCUAUUACUAAAUUAAUGAAUUAUAUGUAGAUUUAAAAGAAAUCCGGCAAUUAAUAUUCGAAAUUAAUCAAUUUUGACUAUGUGAAAAUUGUAACAUUCGUGACAUGUUGGAAGCUUGUACCAAAAUUUGAUAUUUAAUUUAACUUUAAAAAUGUAUUUAAUAAAAAUAGGCGACAAUAAGGAAAUUUAACAUAUUGGCUCAAAUUCAAAAACGCAAGAGAAAUCUUGCUUUGUUUAUAUAAAUAACUAAAUCAACACGACUAAUACUUAAUACGCAUUUCUUAGAAAAACAGAUUCAAAUUAUUUUUUACCUUCCAAAAAUGAUGAAAUAAAAAGAACAGCUAGGUUGAGAUCGUCUCAAAGUUCAAUAAAUGAUUUUGCCGCUCGAAGAUUUAGAUUGUAGCUUUGCCAUUUUUUUUAAACCUAAGAGAACUGACAAAAAGGAAUAUGAAAGUUUCUUUUGUGCAGAAGAACCAAGUAAAUGGACAUAAGUUUAUGGCAGGUUUUAUGAUAUUGAGAACUCGUCGCUUUUGUUCGUAAUAGGCAAUUAAUUUCAAAUUAGAAAAUAGUAUAAAGGAUAUUCAGUUUGACCCAUCAAGUAGAGUAAUCCGCUAUUAAUGGUGUGAAAAAGUAGAAAAAUUUGAAAAAAGCGUACAUUUUCGAAUAGAAACCCAUUUACAUGCUUACUUAGCACACGCAAAAUCCUUAAAUUUCUCUUCCCUAUAUCGAGAGAAGUGAAAAUAUAGAAUAGUGAAUGCAUCAAACGCAAAGAUUUGAAGCCGGUGCAAUGUUAAACAUAUUUGACGGCUAAUCGUCACAAAAAAAUGACAUUGAUGACCUCGAAUUGCGCAAAUUUUGACUUCAUAUUUAAAACUCGAAACUCAUGAAUAUUAAGCCUAGAUAAUUUGUUCGCAUAAUUUCUUCUCAAUCCCACAAAUUAAUUAUCCAUGUAUCGAUAGCAAUGGAAUCAAUUGAUUUAUUAAAUUAAAGUAGAUAUCUUCCCCUCCUCAUUUGAUUAGAAAA
Molecule: non-coding RNA, 1122 nt
Organism: Schizosaccharomyces pombe (fission yeast)
Lineage: Eukaryota; Fungi; Ascomycota; Schizosaccharomycetes; Schizosaccharomycetales; Schizosaccharomycetaceae
Source: the annotation of a GenBank genome assembly